This is a non-coding RNA of Podarcis lilfordi (Lilford's wall lizard), 74 nucleotides long. The record is from the annotation of a GenBank genome assembly. NCBI's taxonomy places the organism in Eukaryota, Metazoa, Chordata, Lepidosauria, Squamata, Lacertidae.
GCCUGGAUAGCUCAGCUGGUUAGAGCGCUGUGCUGGUAACACCAAGAUUGCAGGUUCAAUGCCCGUAUGGGACA